RNAcentral lists this ribosomal RNA (513 nucleotides) under uncultured microorganism. Its description in RNAcentral is "bacterial SSU rRNA". It matches the Rfam family "Bacterial small subunit ribosomal RNA", at positions 9 to 505 of the family's 1533-position model. The record is from RNAcentral.
GAGUUUGAUCAUGGCUCAGGAUGAACGCUGGCGGCGUGCCUAAUACAUGCAAGUCGAGCGAACGGACGAGAAGCUUGCUUCUCUGAUGUUAGCGGCGGACGGGUGAGUAACACGUGGAUAACCUACCUAUAAGACUGGGAUAACUUCGGGAAACCGGAGCUAAUACCGGAUAAUAUUUUGAACCGCAUGGUUCAAAAGUGAAAGACGGUCUUGCUGUCACUUAUAGAUGGAUCCGCGCUGCAUUAGCUAGUUGGUAAGGUAACGGCUUACCAAGGCAACGAUGCAUAGCCGACCUGAGAGGGUGAUCGGCCACACUGGAACUGAGACACGGUCCAGACUCCUACGGGAGGCAGCAGUAGGGAAUCUUCCGCAAUGGGCGAAAGCCUGACGGAGCAACGCCGCGUGAGUGAUGAAGGUCUUCGGAUCGUAAAACUCUGUUAUUAGGGAGAACAUAUGUGUAAGUAACUGUGCACAUCUUGACGGUACCUAAUCAGAAGGCCACGGCUAACUACG